This 573-nucleotide ribosomal RNA is filed under the name Linnemannia elongata. RNAcentral's name for it is "eukaryotic LSU rRNA". The stretch from base 121 to 277 matches the Rfam family "5.8S ribosomal RNA". The record is from RNAcentral. Lineage: Eukaryota; Fungi; Mortierellomycota; Mortierellomycetes; Mortierellales; Mortierellaceae.
AUCCAUAUCCACCUUGUGUGCAAUGUCAGUCGAUCUUCUUCAUGGAGAUCGACCAAACAUCAACCUUUAUUUUUUAACUCUUUUGUCUGAAAAAUAUUAUGAAUAAACAAUUCAAAAUACAACUUUCAACAACGGAUCUCUUAGGCUCUCGCAUCGAUGAAGAACGCAGCGAAAUGCGAUACGUAAUGUGAAUUUGCAGAAUUCAGUGAAUCAUCGAAUCUUUGAACGCAUAUUGCGCUCUUUUGGUAUUCCGAAGAGCAUGCUUGUUUGAGUAUCAGUAAACACCUCAAAGCUUUUGGAUUUUUUAAUCGAAAAGCUUUGGACUUGAGCAAUCCCAACACCAAUCUUUUUGAGAUCGGUGGCGGGUUGCUUGAAAUGCAGGUGCAGCUGGACAUUCUCCUGAGCUAAAAGCAUAUUCAUUUAGUCCCGUCAAACGGAUUAUUACUUUUGCUGCAGCUAACAUAAAGGGAGUUUGACCGUAUUGGCUGACUGAUGCAGGAUUUCACAAGGGUCGGCAACGAUUCUUGUUAAACUCGAUCUCAAAUCAAGUAAGACUACCCGCUGAACUUAAGA